Molecule: ribosomal RNA, 253 nt
Filed under: uncultured bacterium
Lineage: Bacteria
Description: partial 16S ribosomal RNA
Rfam family: Bacterial small subunit ribosomal RNA
Source: RNAcentral
GACAGAGGGUGCAAACGUUGCUCGGAAUUACUGGGCGUAAAGCGCGUGUAGGCGGUGCCGCACGUCCGGCGUGAAAGCCCGGGGCUCAACCCCGGAAGCGCGCAGGAAACGACGGCGCUGGAGUCCUGAAGAGGAGGGCGGAAUUCCCGGUGUAGAGGUGAAAUUCGUAGAUAUCGGGAGGAACACCAGUGGCGAAGGCGGCUCUCUGGACAGGAACUGACGCUGAGACGCGAAAGCGUGGGUAGCAAACAGG